RNAcentral lists this long non-coding RNA (984 nucleotides) under Cricetulus griseus (Chinese hamster). RNAcentral describes it as "lncRNA (ENSCGRG00015041856.1)". The record is from RNAcentral. Lineage: Eukaryota; Metazoa; Chordata; Mammalia; Rodentia; Cricetidae.
GAGGCAAGCAGAUAGAUCUUUGUGAAUUUGAGGUUAGCCUGGUUGACAGCCAGGCUGUUACACAGAGAAACCCUGUCUUCAAAGACAAAAAAAAAAUAUUUUAUAUGUGUGGGUGUUUUGUUUGUACAUAUAUUUACGGGCCACUUGCAUCAGAAGCCAGAAGAUGGCAUCAGAUCCUCUGGAACUGAAGUAUUGGAUGGUUGUGAGACACGGUAUGGGCUCUAGGAACGGAAUCAGGGUCCUCUGGAACAGCAGCCAGCUUCCCUAACUGCUGAAGCAUCUCUCUGGCUUAUGUAACCACAUGCAGAGACUCUGUAUCUAAACUCUGCAGCUUCUUUAAAUAUUUUGUAGCCAUUUGGUCACUUACCUAUCUACAUGUGCAUAAUGAACACACACACACACACACACACACACACACACACAGUGACAUGUAACCUGAAACUCAAAGUUAUUAUCUAAGACUAAAGUAAGAAGAUAAACCUUGCUUGCCAACAGCCAGGCCAUCAAAGGAAACUCAAAUUACUUGUAAAUUGUCGAAAACCAAAGUAACUUUUGAAUUUACUGUUACCUGAUACAUUCUGACAUCGUGGAAAGACACAAGAGUGUGCUAUGUUUCUGACACUCUGUAUUCACAACACCUGCCCAGAGUAGAGUAGAUCAAACCUGCCGGGGUCAACUAAACAUGCCCACUGUCUCCUAGGUCAACUAAACAUGCCCACUGUCUCCUAGGUCAACCAAACAUGCCAAACACUGUCCCCUAGGUCAACCAAACAUGCUAAAAUACUGUCCCCUAGGUCAACUAAACAUGCCAAACACUGUCCCCUAGGUCAACCAAACAUGCCAAACACUGUCCCCUAGGUCAACCAAACAUGCCAAACACUGUCCCCUAGGUCAACCAAACAUGCCAAACACUGUCCCCUAGGUCAACCAAACAUGCCAAACACUGUCCCCUAGGUCAACCAAACAUGCCAAACACUGUCCCCU